UCUCGCUCACUCUGAAAAAUUCAGAUUUCGUCAAAAUUUUGAUUUCCCUCCAUAACCCAUAUUCACUCCCCUCCCUCAACCCUAGUCUGCUCCUUUCUGUAUAGUUCACGCCUCCAAAUCCAACGGAUUUCGAUUCGCAAAUGUCACAACAAUCAGAUUUUUGGAACGAUGGAAUAAGAAAAGGGCUUUGUUGCAAAUCAAACGUUGGAAAGUGGCCAAUCAAUAAAACAAUUAUUCUUCGAUUAGUGUUUUUGUGUUUCUCAAACUAAGAAGAAGUUCAUUUGCUGUGAUAUACACGAGAUACAAUUACAGGCAACUUAAACCAAUUACAACAUAGCGGUGGAUAAUCAAGAAGAACCUUGGAGCAUUAAUGGACGUCAACAAGCCCGUCUUCCUUUUCUUCAUAAUGUUUAUUUAUUUGUGUUAUUGAACCCACAAGUUGUAUAUCUUUAUAUCUGUUGUAUUCGUUCACAUGUAUUACUCUAAGUGUACUACGUGUAGACAUUUGUAAAAACUUUUUGUAUGAUUUCCCUACAUUUACUUUGUGACGUACUGUUAGAGAUCAUUUUUCAACA
This is a long non-coding RNA of Helianthus annuus (common sunflower), 575 nucleotides long. RefSeq lists it as uncharacterized. NCBI's taxonomy places the organism in Eukaryota, Viridiplantae, Streptophyta, Magnoliopsida, Asterales, Asteraceae. The record is from RefSeq and is a predicted model, not a curated record. The transcript is spliced from 4 exons.